ACGGGCUAAAGUUUAUUUUUGAUAAAUUUGAUGUAGGCUACAUAGAUCCUUUUUCUCUAGUCAAUUCUAUUCAUUGUCGAAUAUUAAGAUGAGCUGUUUUUUUACUUAUGGACCCAACAAUGAAGUGCUUCGAAUUCUAGUCCCACGUGAAGGACACCGGGUAGAGAUCCGACCACGGAAAGUUGAUGAGAUGGGGCUGCCGGCAAUGAAUUGGGCAAAGUGAGGAAUACUAGAACAAGAGGAAUUGUUCAUAGAAUUGUGGCAGCAUCUAGUUCAUCUAUCUUUUUUUCUUUUUUUUUUUUUUUUGGUCAUUAUCCAACAGAUUGCUGCCAAGUGUCUUCUGGUGGAAUUUUGGCGGGUAAAUUCUGAAAAUUCUUUACUUGCAACAAAUCUGAUACCAGAAUUGGUUUGAGCAUGGUUUUGUGGAUGGGUGUUUUUGUGUAUUCUGAGUCAUAGGAUCUAGGAAAUUAAGGAUUUGUAUAGAUGGAUUUUAUAUAGGUUUUUCUGUGAAACAUCGGACAGUUUUUAUUUUCAUUUUGAACUCCAUAAGAGUUGUCGGAAAUUGAACACUUUUUCUCAGAGGGUUUGUUGAUGGUCACAUGCCGACCACCGAGUUUGGUGGCUUAAGUGGCGACAUGAUGGAGUUAUUGGUGGUGGUUGAAGGUGGUGGCAUGGGUAUGGUUGAAGAUGGGGAAGAAGAUGAAGCGGAG
RNAcentral lists this long non-coding RNA (710 nucleotides) under Olea europaea subsp. europaea. Lineage: Eukaryota; Viridiplantae; Streptophyta; Magnoliopsida; Lamiales; Oleaceae. The record is from RNAcentral.